RNAcentral lists this ribosomal RNA (478 nucleotides) under uncultured bacterium. RNAcentral's name for it is "partial 16S ribosomal RNA". It matches the Rfam family "Bacterial small subunit ribosomal RNA", at positions 28 to 523 of the family's 1533-position model. The record is from RNAcentral.
GACGAACGCUGGCGGCGUGCUUAACACAUGCAAGUCGAACGGUAAGGCCCUUCGGGGUACACGAGUGGCGAACGGGUGAGUAACACGUGGGUGAUCUGCCCUGCACUUCAGGAUAAGCCUGGGAAACUGGGUCUAAUACCGGAUAGGACCACUGCCUGCAUGGGUGGUGGUGGAAAGCUUUUGCGGUGUGGGAUGGGCCCGCGGCCUAUCAGCUUGUUGGGGGGGUGAUGGCCUACCAAGGCGACGACGGGUAGCCGGCCUGAGAGGGUGACCGGCCACACUGGGACGGAGAUACGGCCCAGACUCCUACGGGAGGCAGCAGUGGGGAAUAUUGCACAAUGGGCGCAAGCCUGAUGCAGCGACGCCGCGUGAGGGAUGACGGCCUUCGGGUUGUAAACCUCUUUCAGCACCGACGAAGCGCAAGUGACGGUAGGUGCAGAAGAAGGACCGGCCAACUACGUGCCAGCAGCCGCCGUAA